This is a long non-coding RNA of Elaeis guineensis (African oil palm), 546 nucleotides long. RefSeq lists it as uncharacterized. Lineage: Eukaryota; Viridiplantae; Streptophyta; Magnoliopsida; Arecales; Arecaceae. The record is from RefSeq and is a predicted model, not a curated record.
UCUCUCUCCCCUCACGCGCAGAAGGCCCAUCCGCCGAAGAAAGCAGCAUAGAGAAUUCUCGGAUCGCCAGACUCCAGAUCUAUCACCACCUGCGAAGAGAGAGAAGAGAGAGGAGAGAAGAGCCAAAGGAAAGGGGCUUUUAGAUGGAGGGGAAGAAGGAGGAGGAGGUGAAGGGUAGGAGGAAGGAGGCGAAGCGGAGGCACGGGUCGACCACCUUGUUCGUGAUGGUGGACUACCUCUUCCUCCUCGUCUUCUUCUGUUUCCUUUGCUACUUCCUCCUCAAGAUCUUGCCCGCGUUUUCUCUAUUCUCCUUCACCACCUCCUAACCACAAGAAUUCCAUCUUUUUCCGAGAUCAUUUAGUCUUGGAAGCGCGGCGCGUGAUUUGAUCCCGAGCAAAACCUGUUUGUUUGAGUGAAACUGUUGAGAAUAUUUGUAUUGUUUUUCUGCUUUUAACUUCUAAAUUUGUUGCAAGAUGAAAUUUUUUGCGAGAUGAUGAUCGGUAAAUAAACAGAUCAUGAUGUGGUUGGCAUGGCAUCUCUUGUGUU